GAGGAAUAUUGCGCGAAUGGGGGUAACCCUGACGCAGCAACGCCGCGUGUACGAAGAAUCAGAAUACUGUGUAAAGUACUGUCAAACGGGACGAAAGAGUGGGUUAGUAGCCUACUUUGCCGGUACCGUUUAA
RNAcentral lists this ribosomal RNA (133 nucleotides) under uncultured bacterium. RNAcentral describes it as "partial 16S ribosomal RNA". It matches the Rfam family "Bacterial small subunit ribosomal RNA", at positions 356 to 485 of the family's 1533-position model. The record is from RNAcentral.